UGAGCAUGAACAGCUUGUGCAGAGGAGACCCCUCCGUCGGGAGGCUGCAUCUCCCCUGGCUGCCCUGUGCAUCCAGGUACGUGUUCUUUGGUUUCUCAAUCCUAGUUUAGUGUUCGCU
This is a long non-coding RNA of Strigops habroptila (Kakapo), 118 nucleotides long. RefSeq lists it as uncharacterized. The record is from RefSeq and is a predicted model, not a curated record. NCBI's taxonomy places the organism in Eukaryota, Metazoa, Chordata, Aves, Psittaciformes, Psittacidae. The transcript is spliced from 3 exons.